Molecule: long non-coding RNA, 655 nt
Organism: Homo sapiens (human)
Lineage: Eukaryota; Metazoa; Chordata; Mammalia; Primates; Hominidae
Source: Ensembl
AGCAGAGCCGAUGCGGCGUCCCGCCUCCUUGCCUUCCCUCUUAGGACCAAACUCCCAGCUGGGGCCUCGGCGUCUGACCGCCAAAGAGCGGGUGCCUGGUUCCUGCGGAGGCUGCCGGGCGGGUGCCGAGGUUGCCGAGAUGCGGGAGGUUUGAACACAAGGAUGGGACAGAGGCGAGGAUCGGGGCUCCUGGGUGGCAGCGGCGGUAACCUGGGCUCCAGGGUAACGGAGGCGGAGGCCUAGACUGCACUACGAAGAGACCGCAGCCAAUCAUGAUGACUCUACCCGAGCUCCCAUUGGCUUCUGUCUCCAGACGGCCCUUUUUAUUGGCUUCAGUGGAACUGGAAGGCGGGACGGCGAGUGCGGGAGAAGGUCUCCAUUGGCCGACCGCUCUAGCUGUAGCGGAGACCCCCAAGUAGGGAAAUUGGGGCAAAACGCGGAGCGCUCCAGGCUCCUACGGGCUGUGCGGUGCCAGGGCUCGACUGCUGAGCGUCGUGGGCUCCGAGAGGGACGCGGGCGGAGGGCAAAGUGGGUUCAUGAUAUGAAUUGUAAAAUUGGCGACUGCGUAAUGUAAAACACUUAACAAUUGCUUAGAUUUCCUUUGGGAAAUAACUUGCUUUUAAAUUGUAAACAAAUUACAAACAAACUGCUAGUG